GCUGAAGACUUUCAGAAUGAGCAGCCCACCACUCAAUAAAAUUCAACAGGAGCCUAGGAGGCAUCAAAAAGUGAUUGUGCUAUUGUCAGGAUGUUUUCCUGAAUUGAUUACAACCUGGUGGAGCUGCUGGGGUGACAUGAGAGCAGACAAGGAGCACUGUACUGAAGCUGAUGAUCUAUCACAGAAGUAUGGCCUUAGACCUUCUGUUUUCUAUGUAGGUUAACAGAAACCUCUUCUUGCAGAUGCUCACCUUGUGCCAUUUUGCAUGUGAGUUUUGAAGAUACCAGGGACUAGCUGCUUCUUUGAACUUCACUUGACAACUGGAAGGACUUGACAGUGAGAUUCCACCUUAUGGGCAAGAAGAUUGAAAUUGAUAAUUUUCAUCUUCAGAAAUCUACCCCAGUUUUCUGCUUCUGCCAAGACUGUACAAGGCCUAGAAUCUGUACCGGCAUUGUGGGUAACUAUUGUUUUCUCUGUGCAUUUAUCCCUUUGCUUUGUACAUAUAAAGUAGUCCACAUGCAGACAGAGAAAAGGCUAACUUUUAGCAAUGUAGCCUAAAAUAUAGCUGCUCCUGUUUUCUCUGAUCUGUGUGUAUGCUUAGAGUAGGACUGUUGGCCUCCAGAUACAAUGC
Molecule: long non-coding RNA, 631 nt
Organism: Pezoporus flaviventris
Lineage: Eukaryota; Metazoa; Chordata; Aves; Psittaciformes; Psittacidae
Exons: 6
Source: RefSeq, a predicted model, not a curated record